This 27-nucleotide non-coding RNA is filed under the name Rattus norvegicus (Norway rat). Lineage: Eukaryota; Metazoa; Chordata; Mammalia; Rodentia; Muridae. The record is from RNAcentral.
UCUCCGUGAGUCCAUCAGAAUUUUGUC